GCAGUCGCCGCGGGAAUACGUAGGUGGCAAGCGUUGUCCGGAAUUAUUGGGCGUAAAGGGCUCGCAGGCGGCUUCUUAAGUCUAAUGUGAAAGCCCCCGGCUCAACCGGGGAGGGUCAUUGGAAACUGGGAAACUUGAGUGCAGAAGAGGAGAGUGGAAUUCCACGUGUAGCGGUGAAAUGCGUAGAGAUGUGGAGGAACACCAGUGGCGAAGGCGACUCUCUGGUCUGUAACUGACGCUGAGGAGCGAAAGCGUGGGGAGCGAACAGGAUUAGAUACCCGUGUAGUCCCUGUCUCUUAUAA
RNAcentral lists this ribosomal RNA (302 nucleotides) under uncultured bacterium. RNAcentral's name for it is "partial 16S ribosomal RNA". It matches the Rfam family "Bacterial small subunit ribosomal RNA", at positions 508 to 809 of the family's 1533-position model. The record is from RNAcentral.